UACAGAGGUCUCGAGCGUUGUUCGGAUUCAUUGGGCGUAAAGGGUGCGUAGGUGGCGCUGUAAGUCGGGUGUGAAAUCCUGAGGCUUAACCUCGGAACUGCAUUCGAUACUGCGGUGCUUGAGGACUGGAGAGGAGACUGGAAUUCAUGGUGUAGCAGUGAAAUGCGUAGAGAUCAUGAGGAAGACCAGUGGCGAAGGCGGGACUCUGGGCCGAUACUGACGCUGAGGAGCGAAAGCGUGGGGAGCAAACAGG
RNAcentral lists this ribosomal RNA (253 nucleotides) under uncultured bacterium. Its description in RNAcentral is "partial 16S ribosomal RNA". It matches the Rfam family "Bacterial small subunit ribosomal RNA", at positions 524 to 776 of the family's 1533-position model. The record is from RNAcentral.